This 253-nucleotide ribosomal RNA is filed under the name uncultured bacterium. RNAcentral's name for it is "partial 16S ribosomal RNA". It matches the Rfam family "Bacterial small subunit ribosomal RNA", at positions 524 to 776 of the family's 1533-position model. The record is from RNAcentral.
UACGAAGGUCCCAAGCGUUAUCCGGAUUUAUUGGGUUUAAAGCGCGCGUAGGUGGCCCCAUAAGUCCGCUGUGAAAGUCAAAGGCUCAACCUUUGAAAGCCGGUGGAUACUGUGGGACUAGAGUACGGAAGAGGCGAGUGGAAUUCCUGGUGUAGCGGUGGAAUGCGCAGAUAUCAGGAGGAACACCAAUAGCGAAGGCAGCUCGCUGGGACGUUACUGACACUGAGGCGCGAAAGCGUGGGGAGCGAACAGG